RNAcentral lists this transfer RNA (91 nucleotides) under Hypericibacter adhaerens. RNAcentral describes it as "tRNA-Ile". It matches the Rfam family "tRNA". From Rfam's summary of the family: Transfer RNA (tRNA) molecules are approximately 80 nucleotides in length. Their secondary structure includes four short double-helical elements and three loops (D, anti-codon, and T loops). Lineage: Bacteria; Pseudomonadati; Pseudomonadota; Alphaproteobacteria; Rhodospirillales; Dongiaceae. The record is from RNAcentral.
GCGCCUGUAGUUCAACGGUAGAACAGCGGGCUUAUACCCCGUUCGCUCCGGACUGGAGCAAGAUGCCGGUUCGAAUCCGGCCGGGCGCACC